Molecule: ribosomal RNA, 819 nt
Filed under: Triticum aestivum (bread wheat)
Lineage: Eukaryota; Viridiplantae; Streptophyta; Magnoliopsida; Poales; Poaceae
Description: partial small subunit ribosomal RNA
Source: RNAcentral
AUGACAAGCGUGACCAAAAAUCAGUUUGGUUUCAUGCCUGGGAGGUCGACCAUGGAAGCCAUUUUCUUGGUACGACAACUUAUGGAGAGAUAUAGGGAGCAUAAGAAGGACUUGCAUAUGGUGUUCAUUGACUUGGAGAAGGCCUAUGAUAAGAUACCGCGGAAUGUCAUGUGGUGGGCCUUGGAGAAACACAAAGUCCCAGCAAAGUACAUUACCCUCAUCAAGGACAUGUACAAUAAUGUUGUGACAAGUGUUCGAACAAGUGAUGUCGACACCGAUGACUUCCCGAUUAAGAUAGGACUGCAUCAGGGGUCAACUUUGAGCCCUUAUCUUUUUGCAUUGGUGAUGGAUGAGGUCACAAGGGGUAUACAAGGAGAUAUCCCAUGGUGUAUGCUCUUUGCGGAUGAUGUGGUGCUAGUUGACGAUAGUCGGACGGGGGUAAAUAGGAAGUUAGAGUUAUGGAGACAAACCUUGGAAUCGAAAGGGUUUAGGCUUAGUAGAACUAAAACCGAGUACAUGAUGUGCGGUUUCAGUACUACUAGCUGUGAGGAGGAGGAGGUUAGCCUCGAUGGCCAGGUGGUACCUCGGAAGGACACCUUUCGGUAUUUGGGGUCAAUGUUGAAGGAGGAUGGGGGUAUUGAUGAAGAUGUGAACCAUCGAAUCAAAGCCGGAUGGAUGAAGUGGCGCCAAGCUUCUGGCAUUCUCUGUGACAAGAGAGUGCCACAAAAGCUAAAAGGCAAGUUCUACAGGACGGCGGUUCGACCCGCAAUGUUGUAUGGCGCGGAGUGUUGGCCGACUAAAAGGCGACAUGUUCAAUAG